UAGAAUAUGUGCCUGAAUAUUUCUCUGCAA
This 30-nucleotide non-coding RNA is filed under the name Mus musculus (house mouse). Lineage: Eukaryota; Metazoa; Chordata; Mammalia; Rodentia; Muridae. The record is from RNAcentral.